AGAGUUUGAUCCUGGCUCAGAACGAACGCUGGCGGCGUGGAUUAGGCAUGCAAGUCGAACGCGAAAGAGGGGGCAACCCCUCGAGUAGAGUGGCGAACGGGUGAGUAACGCGUGAAGAACCUGCCUUCGAGAGGGGGAUAACACUCCCAACGGGGUGCUAAUACCACAUGAGACCACGGGCUCACAUGGGCCCGAGGUCAAAGGUGGCCUCUGCUUGCAAGCUACCACUCGAAGAUGGCUUCGCGUCCCAUUAGCUAGUUGGCGGUGUAACGGACCACCAAGGCGACGAUGGGUAGCUGGUCUGAGAGGAUGGUCAGCCACACUGGGACUGAGAUACGGCCCAGACUCCUACGGGAGGCAGCAGUCGAGAGGCUUUGGCAAUGGGGGAAACCCUGACCAAGCGACGCCGCGUGGAGGAUGAAGGCCCUUGGGUUGUAAACUCCUUUUGCCGGGGAAGAAGUGCGAUCAAGGUGAACAAUCUGGUCGUUUGACGGUACCUGGCGAAUAAGCUCCGGCCAACUCCGUGCCAGCAGCCGCGGUAAUACGUAGGUGGCGAGCGUUGUCCGGAAUUACUGGGCGUAAAGGGCGCGCAGGCGGUCUGUUAAGUCCGGGGUGAAAUCCUCNNNCUCAACUGGAGGGGGACCUUGAAUACUGGCAGGCUGAGUGCGAGAGAGGGGAAGCGGAAUUCCACGUGUAACGGUGAAAUGUAUAGAUAUGUGGAGGAACACCUGGUGGCGAAGGGCGGCUUCCUGGCACCUUAACUGACGCUGAGGCGCGAAAGCUGGGGGAGCGAACAGGAUUAGAUACCCUGGUAGUCCCAGCCGUAAACUAUGAACACUAGGUGUGGGGGGUAUCGACCCCUUCCGUGCCGCASUAACGCAAUAAGUGUUCCSCCUGGGGAGUACGGCCGCAAGGUUGAAACUCAAAGGAAUUGACGGGGGCCGCACAAGCGGUGGAGUAUGUGGUUUAAUUCGAAGCAACGCGAAGAACCUUACCAGGGCUUGACAUCGAUGGAAGGGCGCUGAAAGGCGUCUGCUCUUCGGAGCCAGAAGACAGGUGGUGCAUGGCUGUCGUCAGCUCGUGUCGUGAGAUGUUGGGUUAAGUCCCGCAACGAGNGCAACCCCUACUGCCAGUUGCCAGCGAGUAGCGUCGGGCACUCUGGCGGGACUGCCGGUGACAAACCGGAGGAAGGCGGGGAUGAGGUCAAGUCAUCAUGCCCUUUAUGCCCUGGGCUACACACGUACUACAAUGGCCGGUACAGAGGGAGGCGAAGGCGCGAGCCGGAGCGGAUCCUAAAAGCCGGUCCCAGUUCAGAUCGCAGGCUGCAACCCGCCUGCGUGAAGUCGGAAUCGCUAGUAAUCUCAGGUCAGCAUACUGAGGUGAAUACGUUCCCGGGCCUUGUACACACCGCCCGUCACACCACGAGAGUUUGCGAUACCCGAAGCCGGUGGCCCAACCCGCAAGGGAGGGAGCCGUCUAAGGUAGGGCAGAUGAUUGGGGUGAAGUCGUAACAAGGUAGCCGUAUCGGAAGGUGCGGUUGGAUCACCUCCUU
This 1552-nucleotide ribosomal RNA is filed under the name uncultured bacterium. Its description in RNAcentral is "bacterial SSU rRNA". It matches the Rfam family "Bacterial small subunit ribosomal RNA". The record is from RNAcentral.